GGAAGACGAAACGUAUCAAAUCGAUGAGCGAAUGAACAAAAUACAAGGCCUCGAAUGAAUGUAGGAUAAUUAAUCUGAAUCAAGGAGCGGUGUCACCGUAUAUGUACGUCGAAAUCAUGUGAAUUGAUUUGGUAGACGAUCGGGAUAAGGAUAUCGUGGGUUUCUGUGUUUGGAAAGCGCCAAAGAUGCUUCAAAAAAUAACAAGAAUUGGCGAUGAGGAACUCUUCACUGGUUUUGUUCUGGACAAACACUUGCGAGGCUUGAUUGAGGAGUGGUAAAACAAAGUGAUCUGUAUUCGAAAGAUGAGCUCCAGACAGAAAGUAACCACAGCUGCUGCGGCAACCACGAGCCUUCUCAAGUUUGCGUCCCUUGGAGAAUACAUACGGCCAAGUGAUGGAGUGUGGAACCUUCUAGAUGGUCUUGCUGUACUUUUUUGGGGUUCUGCGAUACAAAAAGCGAUAAAGCUUAAAAUCGAGAAACGAAAUGCCGCAUCUACCAUCGACGUAAUAAUUUUGUAGCAGUUUCACUUGUGAUUGAUAUCAAUAUCCUGGAUAGAACCGAAAACGGAAGAAAACUCUUUUUUUAGAAACAUUGAAAAACACUAACACAAACUAUCACUAGCCAAUAACAACUCAAAUAUCGACCAUUACAUGCACGCCGGACUCUUUAAAACGCCAGAAAAUUUAAUUGUAAUAAGGUUUAGAACAUCUCAAUAAUACUGAAAUUUCAGUUCUGUUAAAAUGUCAGUCGAGUCCUUAUCAUUUUUAA
Long non-coding RNA from Toxorhynchites rutilus septentrionalis, 768 nucleotides. RefSeq lists it as uncharacterized. NCBI's taxonomy places the organism in Eukaryota, Metazoa, Arthropoda, Insecta, Diptera, Culicidae. The record is from RefSeq and is a predicted model, not a curated record. The transcript has 3 exons.